RNAcentral lists this non-coding RNA (47 nucleotides) under Palleronia pelagia. RNAcentral describes it as "SAM-SAH-Weickhmann-2018 RNA". It matches the Rfam family "SAM/SAH riboswitch aptamer". Lineage: Bacteria; Pseudomonadati; Pseudomonadota; Alphaproteobacteria; Rhodobacterales; Roseobacteraceae. The record is from RNAcentral.
GGUGCGCAACGGCUUCCUGACGCGUAUCCCAUGACCUUAAUGGAGCA